This 450-nucleotide ribosomal RNA is filed under the name uncultured bacterium. RNAcentral's name for it is "bacterial SSU rRNA". It matches the Rfam family "Bacterial small subunit ribosomal RNA", at positions 330 to 794 of the family's 1533-position model. The record is from RNAcentral.
UCCAGACUCCUACGGGAGGCAGCAGUGGGGAAUAUUGCACAAUGGGGGAAACCCUGAUGCAGCGACGCCGCGUGAAGGAAGAAGUAUCUCGGUAUGUAAACUUCUAUCAGCAGGGAAGAAAACAGACGGUACCUGACUAAGAAGCCCCGGCUAACUACGUGCCAGCAGCCGCGGUAAUACGUAGGGGGCAAGCGUUAUCCGGAGUGACUGGGUGUAAAGAGUUGCGUAGGUGGCAUAAUAAGUAGCUAGUGAAAUCUGGUGGCUCAACCAUUCAGACUAUUAGCUAAACUGUUAAGCUCGAGACCGUUAGGGGUAACUGGAAUUUCUAGUGUAGGAGUGAAAUCCGUAGAUAUUAGAAGGAACACCAAUAGCGUAGGCAGGUUACUGGGACGGUUCUGACACUAAGGCACGAAAGCGUAGGGAGCAAACGGGAUUAGAUACCCGGGUAAU